This 222-nucleotide long non-coding RNA is filed under the name Gallus gallus (chicken). Lineage: Eukaryota; Metazoa; Chordata; Aves; Galliformes; Phasianidae. The record is from RNAcentral.
UAUUGCUCCCCCUAUUCAUCACAAGGCCAAAGUGGUGCACAAGAUAGACCUCCUAAUCAAAUUAAUUACUCAGUAGAAUUGGAAUACAAAAUACCCACGCGCGCUUAAAUGAAGAGAACCAAAAUAUAUCAUCAUACCAGAUGCUCUGAAGAAAAUAAUUACGUCCCAGCUGAAACUAACAUGAAACUGAAAAACUUAAAGAUAUCCAGAGAGUAAUUUAAG